RNAcentral lists this ribosomal RNA (332 nucleotides) under uncultured bacterium. RNAcentral describes it as "bacterial SSU rRNA". It matches the Rfam family "Bacterial small subunit ribosomal RNA", at positions 568 to 898 of the family's 1533-position model. The record is from RNAcentral.
UGUGUAGGCGGCUACGCAAGUCGGAUGUGAAAUCCCCGGGCUCAACCCGGGAAGUGCACCCGAUACUGCGCAGCUUGAGUACCGGAGAGGUUGGCGGAAUUCUCGGUGUAGAGGUGAAAUUCGUAGAUAUCGAGAGGAACACCGGCGGCGAAGGCGGCCAACUGGACGAGUACUGACGCUGAGACACGAAAGCGUGGGGAGCAAACAGGAUUAGAUACCCUGGUAGUCCACGCCGUAAACGAUGGGUGCUAGGUGUCACGGGCUUUGACUCCUGUGGUGCCGUAGCUAACGCAUUAAGCACCCCGCCUGGGAAGUACGGCCGCAAGGCUAAA